UGGGAUGUGGGAGUGCUGAGCUGGGGGGGACGCUUUGGGAGGCAGCUCUGUGCCUCCCUUAACUCGAGGGCUUGAUGUGCUCAAGACAAUAAGUCAUGUUAAAAUGCAGCAAUUAGGGCAUCUGUAAGAAAAUCCGUGCUCUGCUUUAAGGAGCUUCUACCAGGAGGUUAGCAGAACUCACCAGGGCUCCCAACAGCAGGCUCUAUCUGCAUUCAACAGACCCUCCAAAAUAGUCAUCUGCCUAGGUCUGGAGAGGAAAAAAUGCCCAUUGCCCAAGUGUUACACAAGCUGUCUGCCCCCAGCUGAUUCUCCCUGCAACCUGACGACUUUUCUCCAGCCAGCUGUUUGCCUGGAGGCUACAAACACCUGCUCUGCCUCAAAAACAGCUCCAGCAACUCCCUCCAACACGUCAGAAGACAGCAAAUUGAACAGCAGACAGACCUCCCCUCAAGGGGAAAACUUUUCUGGGAAGCAGCGGAUGGUUUAUCCACACGAGUGACUGCGUAAUUUUCUACUUGUUGAUGGCCACAGGCACAUCAAAGUUUCCUGAGCCGUGCCCUCGGUUCCCAGCAGGGCUCAUGGGCUGGGAUCCAUCCCAUAGCUGAAGCCAUCAGCCACGCCGGGCUUUGCACCGUCUCUCAAAGCAGACCCAGGCCACAGCUUUGAGACUACAGAACUAAUUUUAAGUCUCUGACACUUUGAGAGGAAAAGGAUUUCCACCACCUUCACAAUAAAGGCUCUCCCUGGCUCUGGCUCAACUGCUUGGGAGUCGCAGCAAUGUAGGAGGUCCUUCUGAUUUUAGGGUUCCCGUAACUGAGAGCAGUUAAGUGUAACUCAGACAGGCAGGAGAGGGAAUCCAGGAGGUGUGAAAUCUAAGCCUUAGGUUUUUUACUAAGGUUCUUAAAGAAGAGGAAAACGACAAAGGGUACUGUAAACUGGAGGCUGGAGCCUUGGAGGCUCCAUCAAAUUUGACUUCUGAACACCUUUACUUCUCUUUGCAGCUGGGUUUUGCUCUUAGUUACACUAUUCCUGUCUUGCUUUGUGUAUGUGCAAUUUCCCCGCUCACCUUCUGGACAUGUGAACCUGUCGUACCACCCUGCAAGGUGUCCCUGCUGUGCUCUAAAGCUGUUCAGCAACCUACCGGCCAGAUCUAGCCAAAAAAACCCUCAGUCAGACAACCCCUGCUACAGAGCCCGAGAGUGCCUGUAAGUGCUAUGGGGAGUGUGCAAGAAAUAGGAGAUUUCCAACCCUACUGUGCCCUACCUUAAGGUGUUGUUUUGGGGUGAAAGCCACAAAAUUCAGCCUAAUUGCAUGAAGCAUCAAAAGCUUCCAGGUUUGUUCAGGGGCAGAGCUGGUACUGGCUGAUUCCAAGCCCCAGCCUGCACGGCGUUACACAGCCUGGUGGAUUUGAAAUCCAUGCACCAAGAGUUCCCAAAGCUCAUAACUUUUAAAGUUUGCGAGGUUGCUCUCCUGAUGCCUGUGUAUCAGCCAAGUGAGGCUCGAAGACUCGGCACUGAGUCACGGGAAGGCAGGAUGUGUUCUGAAACACUGGGAAAGUUCACAGCUCCAAACCGCCCUGACCCGUGACUCAGGCUGCGUGUAAGCACUGCACAAAAUUUCACAUUAAGGUCAAGUUCAGAAACAGAAGGUUCCAGCAUUAAAAUAAAUGACUUGAAAGAGUUCAGAGGAGUAACGGGAAGCUGGGUCUUGGCUAAAAGAUGCCCGACAUCUUCAAAAGUGGGAGAAUCUUAGGAUUCUCCCUGACAGGCCUCAUUUCUACUCAUAUAAUGAAAUGGAGGUGCUGAGCUGGCAAGGUUUGGAGUACAGACAGAUUUCCUAGUGAACUAACGAAGCUCUUGAUACCCUGGGCCUGCCAGUUGUCUGUUUGGAUGCUCAGAGACGUGGGCAUCCAACAUCAAGCAGAGGAGCUUGAAGAUGUUAGCAGUGACCCUGUGGACCACCACCAGCGUGGAAUGUCCCAUGUAGACCUCACACGCGGACAGAAAAUCCCACAUUUCUGGUCUGAAAAACACGUUUCAAGUUCCCAAACUAGAACAGUAAAGGCAAAAGGGGAAGGGAAAAGGUUAUGAGGUGGGGAGCAUGAGACAGAGAGAUGGAUCCAGGCACAAGACAAGUCAGAGCUGAGUACUGUCUGACUUCUCAGUCCCCUGAGCGUCAGUAACACUCUGCUGCAGUUGUUCUCUCUCUGCCAGCCUGGCAUA
This is a long non-coding RNA of Anas platyrhynchos (mallard), 2222 nucleotides long. RefSeq lists it as uncharacterized. The record is from RefSeq and is a predicted model, not a curated record. NCBI's taxonomy places the organism in Eukaryota, Metazoa, Chordata, Aves, Anseriformes, Anatidae.